GUGAGGAUAGCUCAGUUAGGAGAGCGUCAAAUUAAUGAUCUAAUGGUCACAUGUUUGAUCCAUGUUCAUCGCA
This is a non-coding RNA of Gossypium arboreum, 73 nucleotides long. Lineage: Eukaryota; Viridiplantae; Streptophyta; Magnoliopsida; Malvales; Malvaceae. The record is from Rfam.